AUGUAUAGGCUUAGUCUACUUCGACGAGCAAUUGCCUUAUGUUUCUUUUAUCAUGCUCUUCAAACUAUAGGUGUUCGGUUCUUCCCUACCAUUCAAGAGGAAAAUGAUUCACUGGCCAAAGAUUUUGUCCAUGGUCCAGCCAAACAAAAUCUCAAAAGCUUGAAGUCAAACUCCACUGAGUUAAUAACUUCUGGAGGUUCUAGUUUAUGGGAUGAUCCCUAUUUUGUGUCACACCUAACACAUUCUGGAGGUCCCAAUGACAACUAUUAUGGCUUACAUGCCACCAUGGAUGUGUAUGGCCACGAACUAAAACAUGGCCAGUUGAGUUCGACUACGUUUUGGAUUAAUCAUGCCGGAGAUGGUAAAAAAUCAAGCUAUAAUGCGAUUCAAGUUGGCUGGCAUAUUAAUCCAGAACGAUAUGGCGACUCACAUCCUCACUUCUACACCCGUUGGACGAGAGAUAAUUAUGAUGCAACCGGCUGCUACAACAUGGACUGCCCUGGUUACAUACGGGUAGAUGGCGCUAUUAUAGCUCCGGGUGAUGCUAUACAUCCAGUUUCUAAUGUCCCUGAUGGACCUAGACAAAGUAUCACUCUGAGGGUGCUAAAGGACAAAAGAAGUGGAGAUUGGUGGGUGUAUUACGGCUUCAAUAAAAUCCCCACUGGCGUGGGAUACUUCCCUAGGUCGUUGUUUAGCUACUUAGCAGAAAAGGCAGACGGAAUGCAAUUUGGUGCAUUUGUUCAAGCUAAAAAAGCACUUCCAACUCCUCCAAUGGGCAGUGGUGCCCUCCCAAAUGGUGGUAAGGGUCGCGCCGCAUCAUUCAAAAACAUUAGAUUCAUUGACCAGGAUGGAAAUAGCAGCCCGAUCAAGGAAGACCUGCCCAUGUUUGUUACUGAUAGAAAAUGUCACUCUAUCACCCAUAUUGAUCAUGCUGAAUGCUUUUAUGGUGGUCCUGGAGGGUGUAUGAGAUAA
RNAcentral lists this ribosomal RNA (972 nucleotides) under Triticum aestivum (bread wheat). Its description in RNAcentral is "partial small subunit ribosomal RNA". Lineage: Eukaryota; Viridiplantae; Streptophyta; Magnoliopsida; Poales; Poaceae. The record is from RNAcentral.